CUCCUCCCUCUCCUCCUGCUUUCUUUCUUCCCCUCUUCCAAGAAAAGGGGAAAAGCAAAAACAAAAUCCAAAAACAAUAACAUAAAACAUAAAAAAAAAUUGUCAAGAGAAAGGAAGGAAAAGAGGUUAGGAGGGAAGUCUCUGGGAAAGAGGUUUGACCUCUCUUUCUCUCUCUCUUCCUUCUCUUUGAACCAGUCCAAUCCUCCUUUUGAAUUCAUCAUCAUCAUCGUUAUCAUCAUGCCUCGUCUUGUAAACUCCUUUUCUUGAACUUAUUCCCCACUUCCCUUCUUGCUUCCCAUAAAUCUCCUCUCAUUUUCUCUACCUUUGUUGUUCACAUACCUGCCUUCUUUGAUUUUUCUCGUUUAUUGAUCCGUAGUUUCGUGGAAAGUCAAAAUUUCCAUUUUCCAUAACAUUUGGCUUUUAUUGGGUCUUAUUCUCUUCAGAUUUGAUCUUUUAUAGCUGGAUCUUUGAUCUUCUAUCACAAUUAUAAAUACCCAUUUCUUGUUUUUCUCAAACUGACAGAUUUUGACUGAAAAUAAGAAAAAAAAUUUUUUUUAAUCGAUCUGAAUUCAUUUUUCGCUUCAAAUCCAAAUACCCAUCACACCAGGAGCCACAGAAAUCCCAACAAACAAGACUUUUUCUGGGUCAAAUUUAUAUCUUUUUUUAAUUUCUGAUUCAUGGGUAAUUGUUGUGUUACCCCUUCAACGGCCUCAAAACACGAGCAUAAGAAGAACAAGAAGAAACAAAAUCCAUUUGCUAUCGAUUAUGGUCACAGCAAUGGAGUCCAGCACAAGCUCACCGUCUUAAAAGACCCAACAGGAGGAGAAAUCGAGCAAAGAUAUGAGCUAGGCCGAGAGCUAGGUAGGGGUGAAUUUGGAAUAACAUACUUAUGUACAGACAAGGAGACUAGAGACACUUUCGCCUGCAAAUCAAUCUCUAAGAAGAAGCUAAGGACAGCAGUGGACAUCGAAGAUGUCAGGAGAGAAGUGCAGAUCAUGAGGCAUUUGCCUAAGCAUCCUAAUAUUGUGAGUUUGAAGGAUACAUAUGAGGAUGAUAACGCAGUGCAUUUGGUGAUGGAGUUGUGCGAGGGAGGGGAGCUGUUCGACAGGAUAGUAGCCAGAGGACAUUACAGCGAGAGAGCGGCAGCCAAUGUUGCCAGGACGAUAGCUGAGGUAGUUAGGAUGUGUCAUGAGAAUGGAGUUAUGCAUAGAGACUUGAAACCCGAGAAUUUUCUGUUUGCUAAUAAGAAAGAGAAUUCCGUGCUUAAGGCUAUUGAUUUUGGACUCUCAGUAUUUUUCAGGCCAGGAGAGAGGUUUACAGAGAUUGUUGGGAGUCCAUAUUACAUGGCACCAGAAGUGUUGAGGCGUAAUUAUGGUCCAGAGGUUGAUGUGUGGAGUGCUGGAGUGAUACUUUAUAUUUUAUUAUGUGGCGUUCCUCCAUUUUGGGCAGAGACUGAGCAGGGUGUUGCUCUGGCAAUUCUGAGGGGAGUGAUUGAUUUUAAGAGAGAACCAUGGCCUCAGAUUUCAGACAGUGCUAAGAGUCUUGUUCGGCAGAUGUUGGAGCCAGAUCCUAAAAAGCGCUUGACUGCUCAACAGGUGCUUGAACAUCCCUGGCUACAAAAUGCAAAGAAAGCUCCAAAUGCCCCAUUGGGAGACAUUGUGAGGACAAGGCUUAAGCAGUUUUCAUUGAUGAAUAGGUUUAAGAAGAAAGCAUUGCGGGUAAUUGCGGAACACCUAUCUCUUGAAGAGGUUGAAGUAAUCAGAGACAUGUUUGCAUUGAUGGAUACUGAUAAUGAUGGAAAAGUAACGUAUGAGGAACUGAGGGCUGGUCUUCGGAAGGUUGGUUCACAGCUGGCUGAACCAGAGAUAAAGAUGCUUAUGGAAGUGGCUGAUGUUGAUGGGAAUGGAGUGCUGGACUAUGGGGAGUUCGUAGCUGUAACAAUUCAUUUGCAGAAGAUGGAGAAUGAUGAACACUUCCGCAGGGCAUUUAUGUUUUUUGAUAAGGAUGGUAGUGGAUAUAUAGAAUUAGAUGAGCUACGAGAGGCCUUGGCAGAUGAAUCUGGUGAAACGGAUAAUGAUGUGCUGAAAGACAUCAUGCGUGAAGUUGACACUGACAAGGAUGGAUGCAUUAGUUAUGAAGAAUUUGUUGCUAUGAUGAAAGCUGGAACUGACUGGAGAAAGGCAUCUAGACAAUAUUCAAGGGAGAGAUUCAAGAGUUUGAGCCUCAACCUGAUGAAGGAUGGUUCAUUGCAACUCCAUGAUGGGCUCACUGGUCAAUCCUAUGCUGUCUAAACCAAACAGUUAAAUGAUUUUUUUUUGUUUGUGGUCACUGAAUGUUCCUGUCUUAUUAAUUAUAUUCCAUAUGCGGAGUCUAGCCCGUGGGUUUCUCACAAUGCAAGUUUUAGGAGACACACUGAAUAUUCUUGGGUUCAAUAGGACGGACUCAGUUGGCUAUAGGCAGCAUGAACCAUGCAUCAGAGGAUUGGUUCACGACAGAUAGCCAAAGCUUGGCAUUGUGGUGGCAUACAUUACAGGUUCAAAUUAGUGUCGCAUUGCUUUGUAUAUUUGUUUUUUCAUUGGCAUUAGAUGAUUUUCUUUUCUUCCAAGUGCUUUUCUGACUUCAUGCAGAAUCCCCAUUGGAAUUGUUUGUUUGUAAUGAGAACUUUGAGCUAGUGUCAAAUGUUCUAGUUUUGCAACUAUUUGAAAGGCAUAUUCCAGAAUCUGGAGUGAUGGGAAUUUUGCCAUUAUGGCUAUAUCCAUUCCAAUUGUACCUUCUGCUGUGAAAAUUUACGUUGUUUUUGAAUAGCAUCUUUAUGAAGUUAACAGAUCAACUU
Molecule: unclassified non-coding RNA, 2833 nt
Filed under: Hevea brasiliensis (rubber tree)
Lineage: Eukaryota; Viridiplantae; Streptophyta; Magnoliopsida; Malpighiales; Euphorbiaceae
Source: RNAcentral